AAUAAAAGACAAAUCAGGGCCAGCAACAGAUGACCUGAGGCAGGGAGGUUCCCUGAUCGGCUGAUUGUUGGCUAAGGACAGUGAGCUAGAUGCAGGAAGAUUGCUCCCGAUGUUG
Amblyraja radiata (thorny skate) is the source of this 115-nucleotide long non-coding RNA. RefSeq lists it as uncharacterized. The record is from RefSeq and is a predicted model, not a curated record. The transcript has 3 exons. NCBI's taxonomy places the organism in Eukaryota, Metazoa, Chordata, Chondrichthyes, Rajiformes, Rajidae.